RNAcentral lists this ribosomal RNA (825 nucleotides) under Luciola parvula. RNAcentral's name for it is "partial 16S rRNA". Lineage: Eukaryota; Metazoa; Arthropoda; Insecta; Coleoptera; Lampyridae. The record is from RNAcentral.
UAAUUCUCUUAUUAUUUUUUAUUUGUUUAUUUUUAAUUAAUAAUUUUUAAUAUGAAAUAUUUAAAGGGAUGAGCUUUUAACUAUAUUAUUAAAAAUUUUUAUUUAAUUUAUUUUUGUAUAAUUUGUAUUGUUAAUCAUAUGAAUAAUUUAAUAGUUAAUUUAUUUUUAUUUAAAUUUAUAUUAAUUUUAAUUUUUAUAUUAAAAAAUUUUGUUUAAUGAUUUUUCUUAAGGUAUAAUGAUUAAAUUAGUAGAUAAAUUUGUAAAUAUUUUUUUUUAAAUUUUAGGUAAUAAAAAGGAAUUCGGCAAAUAUAUUUUUCGCCUGUUUAUUAAAAACAUGUUUUUUUGAUAAUAAUUUAAGAUUUAAUCUGCUCAAUGAUUAUUUAAAUUGCCGCAGUAUUUUAACUGUGCAAAGGUAGCAUAAUAAUUAGUUUCUUUAUUGGGAACUGGAAUGAAUGAUUGGACGAGAAAAUUUCUGUCUCUUUAUUAUUUUUAUUUAAUUUUACUUUUAAGUUAAAAGGCUUAACUUUGUUUAAAAGACGAGAAGACCCUAUAGAGUUUAAUUUAUUAAAAAUUAUUUUUUAUUGGUAUUUUUAAAUUUAUUUUUUAAUAAAUUUAGUUGGGGUGACUAAAAGAUUUAUUAAACUCUUUUAAUAUAAAUCAAUUAUGUUUGAAUAUUAAAUCUAUGUUUUUAAAUUUAAAAUUAAUUACCUUAGGGAUAACAGCGUAAUUUUUUUUUAAAGUUCAUAUUAAAAGGAAAGUUUGCGACCUCGAUGUUGGAUUAAAAUUUAUUUUUGGUGUAGAAGCUUAAAAAUUAAGUCUGUUCGA